CAGCAGCCGCGGUAAUACGUAGGUCCCGAGCGUUGUCCGGAUUUAUUGGGCGUAAAGGGAGCGCAGGCGGUUUAGUAAGUCUGAAGUUAAAGGCAUUGGCUCAACCAAUGUAUGCUUUGGAAACUGUUAGACUUGAGUGCAGAAGGGGAGAGUGGAAUUCCAUGUGUAGCGGUGAAAUGCGUAGAUAUAUGGAGGAACACCGGUGGCGAAAGCGGCUCUCUGGUCUGUCACUGACGCUGAGGCUCGAGAGCGUGGGUAGCGAACAGGAUUAGAUACCCCCGUAGUCCCUGUCUCUUAUACA
Molecule: ribosomal RNA, 301 nt
Filed under: uncultured bacterium
Lineage: Bacteria
Description: partial 16S ribosomal RNA
Rfam family: Bacterial small subunit ribosomal RNA
Source: RNAcentral